GGGCAGAUCAGGAACUGGCCUGCACUUUAGAGACUGAUAAGAAUAAUCUAUCUGGAUCACAGGGUCACUGUUGAGCUUCUCAUCCAUGCCCAGUACACUGACUAGAAUACAGCUGUGCUCACAGAAUAUCAAAGGAGGGAAGGCAGGGCAGACCACUCUUCCUACACCAGUCAGCUUCUCAUUUUUUGAGAACUCAGACCUUCUUUCUCUCUAACAUCACCUUGACAGUCUUUCAUUGUUUUACACUGAUUGUUUCAUUUGUUUGAGGUUUUGUUUGUUUGUUUGUUUGUUUUUUGGUGGGGGGGCUGGUUGCAGGAGAGGAAGAGGAUGUGUUUUGUUCUGUUUUUCUAUCUACCACACUCUUCUCUCUUGCCUUUGUUACUAUGGUCUCUAUCAGCCCCUUGCAGUGAUUGGAAAUGUACACUGAUUGUUUCAUUUGUUUGGGGUUUUGUUUGUUUGUUUGUUUGUUUGUUUUUUGGUGGGGGGGCUGGUUGCAGGAGAGGAAGAGGAUGUGUUUUGUUGUUUUUCUAUCUACCACACUCUUCUCUCUUGCCUUUGUUACUAUGGUCUCUAUCAGCCCCUUGCAGUGAUUGGAAAUGUACACUGAUUGUUUCAUUUGUUUGGGGUUUUGUUUGUUUGUUUUGUUGUUUUUUGGUGGGGGGGAUGGGUGCAGGAGAGGAAGAGGAUGUGUUUUGUUGUUUUUCUAUCUACCACACUCUUCUCUCUUGCCUUUGUUACUAUGGUCUCUAUAAGCCCCUUGCAGUGAUUGGAAAUGUCCACUGAUUGUUUCAUUUGUUUGGGGUUUUGUUUGUUUGUUUUGUUGUUUUUUGGUGGGGGGGAUGGUUGCAGGAGAGGAAGAGGAUGUGUUUUGUUGUUUUUCUAUCUACCACACUCUUCACUCUUGCCUUUGUUACUAUGGUCUCUAUAAGCCCCUUGCAGUGAUUGGAAAUGUACACUGAUUGUUUCAUUUGUUUGAGGUUUUGUUUGUUUGUUUGUUUGUUUUUUGGUGGGGGGGAUGGUUGCAGGAGAGGAAGAGGAUGUGUUUUGGUCUGUUUUUCUAUCUACCACACUCUUCACUCUUGCCUUUGUUACUAUGGUCUCUAUCAGCCCCUUGCAGUGAUUGGAAAUGUCCACUGAUUGUUUCAUUUGUUUGGGGUUUUGUUUGUUUGUUUGUUUGUUUUUUGGUGGGGGGGCUGGUUGCAGGAGAGGAAGAGGAUGUGUUUUGUUCUGUUUUUCUAUCUACCACACUCUUCUCUCUUGCCUUUGUUACUAUGGUCUCUAUAAGCCCCUUGCAGUGAUUGGAAAUG
Molecule: long non-coding RNA, 1307 nt
Filed under: Sus scrofa (pig)
Lineage: Eukaryota; Metazoa; Chordata; Mammalia; Artiodactyla; Suidae
Description: lncRNA (ENSSSCG00015002073.1)
Source: RNAcentral